Molecule: ribosomal RNA, 429 nt
Filed under: uncultured Bacilli bacterium
Lineage: Bacteria; Bacillati; Bacillota; Bacilli
Description: bacterial SSU rRNA
Rfam family: Bacterial small subunit ribosomal RNA
Source: RNAcentral
GAGGGUGAUCGGCCACACUGGGACUGAGACACGGCCCAGACUCCUACGGGAGGCAGCAGUAGGGAAUCUUCGGCAAUGGACGGAAGUCUGACCGAGCAACGCCGCGUGAGUGAAGAAGGUUUUCGGAUCGUAAAGCUCUGUUGUAAGAGAAGAACGAGUGUGAGAGUGGAAAGUUCACACUGUGACGGUAUCUUACCAGAAAGGGACGGCUAACUACGUGCCAGCAGCCGCGGUAAUACGUAGGUCCCGAGCGUUGUCCGGAUUUAUUGGGCGUAAAGCGAGCGCAGGCGGUUAGAUAAGUCUGAAGUUAAAGGCUGUGGCUUAACCAUAGUACGCUUUGGAAACUGUUUAACUUGAGUGCAAGAGGGGAGAGUGGAAUUCCAUGUGUAGCGGUGAAAUGCGUAGAUAUAUGGAGGACACCGGUGGCGA